UCCUCCGUUUUUUUCUUCGACCCACGCCAUGUUCCAAAAGAGACUUGUUAUUGACGGUCGUGGUCACCUUCUCGGUCGCCUCGCCUCCAUUGUCGCCAAGGAGAUCCUCAACGGACAGCACGUCGUUGUUGUGCGCUGUGAGGGCAUCA
Molecule: non-coding RNA, 149 nt
Filed under: Gloeochaete wittrockiana
Lineage: Eukaryota; Glaucocystophyceae; Gloeochaetales; Gloeochaetaceae
Source: RNAcentral